RNAcentral lists this long non-coding RNA (658 nucleotides) under Homo sapiens (human). RNAcentral describes it as "CRPPA antisense RNA 1". The record is from RNAcentral. Lineage: Eukaryota; Metazoa; Chordata; Mammalia; Primates; Hominidae.
AUCAUGAACUGAGGCCUCAGUGCAAUAGCUCAUGAGGAAAUGAAUUAUUUCAACAGCCAGGGUUGCUCUGAAGACUAAAGCCCUGGGAUCAUUCAUUUUAAAAGAAAAGAACGGUGACUCAUCAUUUCAAGCUUUUCAUUCUGGAAGUUGGAAGUACAAGAUCAGAUUGCCAGCAUCAUCAGAUUUGAUAUCAAAGUAAUGUCAAGUGCUUCUGACCCACUGCAUUAAACGUGUGCUGAGCAGUUGGUGGUAGAAGACAUUAUUGUGAAGGCUGCUCACCACCAAUUUCAUCACUGUUGCUAACUCCAGCUCAUCUAAUCUCUGCAACAUCUGCUACCAGCACCUUCUCUUGCCUCCUUUUGUGAACAUAGUUUUUUCUUCUGGUUAGAAAAUCAGUUCGAACUUCUUGAGUUUUGUGUUUUAAACUCUUCUCAACUGUUCCGAUGAUUGAUGGAUGGCCCAGAGGCGACCUCUUUAUCUCCAGCAACAUAUUUGGCUGUUGGCCCGGUAGAGAGGUACUCCAGAAGCUUGCUGGUUCAUCAUGCUCUCAUCUUUAACCACAACUAUUUAUCUGACUCCUUCCAUCUCCACAGCACUGUGUGAGGGAUCAGUGAUAAGAGACGGUGAAAGACAUGCGCAAAUGGAUAAAUAAUAAGCA